RNAcentral lists this long non-coding RNA (1106 nucleotides) under Homo sapiens (human). RNAcentral's name for it is "HSALNT0340175". The record is from RNAcentral. Lineage: Eukaryota; Metazoa; Chordata; Mammalia; Primates; Hominidae.
GUACCCUGGCAUAUGUCCUACAUGUAAAGAAGGGUUAGUGGAAAACAGGGUUAAUACAUGGAACUUUGCUUUAUUUUCAACUUCACUGGAAAGUACUGACUACAUAAGUUAGCUAUAGCAUAAUUGUUGACCACAGCUAAUUUUGUUUAUCACAUAUGCUCCUUUCUUCACUGCCUACAGCUGCUGAGUUUCACUACUAAAAGGUCUUCAAGUACACACCUGUAUUCUUUGGCGCUUGAAAGUUGAUCCUUUAUGUGAUAUUAUACUUAUUGGACUUUUAUUCCUACUUCGAGACCAAUAUUGAAGCACCUUCAUUUUUGGAAGGACUGGGGACGAUAAUGAAUGACAGGCUUACUGAAAUCCUCUUGGAAUUAAUGCAGUAAAAUGCUUCCAUCUUUAUCCAGAGGUGAGUCAUAAUUUGAGACAAAUAAUAUAUUUAUAGAGUGAUCCUCUUUAUCAGAUAAAAAUAGUAAGCACAAUCUUUUUAAGAAAGGGAGGGGACCUUUCACGUUUAUUAGUUGUGUGUAUCCUUAUAGUUGAGCAGAAUAUCAUAAGUUCCUCUCUUAAAAUUUAAAGACCCCAGAAACUGUUCUCUCAUGAACUCAAAGAAUGAACUUUAGUGUGUAAAUAAUAGCCAGGGUAAUAGACAAGCCAAAUGGAAAAGAGAGUCAUGGGAGCCAAAAAGGUUCUAAAUGGGGAUGGGCUUUUGGCUUUGGAUACCUCGUAGGUGGGCACGAUGACCACGUGAAGGGACAGUGAGAGUGAUGAGCUUGAAUAGUUAUCUUGGACUUACGUUAGUAAAGUAAGAUUUAUUUAGUCACACAGCCGGAAAUCUAUUACUAUCUUCCAACACUUAGCCUAAAAGACUAUGGUUGUUUUUUUUUUUUUUUUUUUUUAGUAUUUAUUGAUCAUUCUUGGGUGUUUUUUGGAGAGGGGGAUUUGGCAGGGUCAUAGGACAAUAGUGGAGGGAAGGUCAGCAGAUAAACAUGUGAACAAGGGUCUCUGGUUUUCCUAGGCAGAGGACCCUGCAGCCUUCCGCAGUGUUUGUGUCCCUGGGUACUUGAGAUUAGGGAGUGGUGAUGACUCUUAACGAGCAUGCUGCCUUC